This 1623-nucleotide long non-coding RNA is filed under the name Homo sapiens (human). Its description in RNAcentral is "HSALNT0366965". The record is from RNAcentral. Lineage: Eukaryota; Metazoa; Chordata; Mammalia; Primates; Hominidae.
UCUUCAGAGCGCUACCUUGUGUUCAGAAGUGCCAAUGCCUGACUGCUGCAGAAGUGUGAAAGCUCAUCUCUCUUACCUUAAAGCGAUAACAGCUGCAUGGCCAGAAGCUGUCUGACUAGACUCUGGAGUCUCAUGAAGCUUCGCAACUUCCAGAGGAAGACUUAAAUGGUAAAUCGCCAUUACUUUUGGUCAAAUUCAGCUCCUUUCUCAGCAGCAGCUACGCAUUCCUCACCCUCCAACCUCUUGGCAGACAGUCCUACGCGUGUUCCAGAGCAAUUUUCACACAGUUAGCAGGAACCAAGCAACCACUGAAUAAAGAGUAGCCCAGGAAGAAUUACAAUCUCAUAGGCACUGAUAUAGCAGUGCUAAGAAGAGAUGACAUAACUCAGCUUUAGAUUGCACCCUCAAGAAAUCAUGCUGAAUUUCACAACAGGAGUGGCACAUAUCUCCAAAGAGCCACAGCCUUCCAGGUGGGCACCUCCUUUCCCCAGCUUCUCUUCCUUCUGACCGUCUGACUUGGAACCACAUGAGUAACUGACACAUCCUAUGGUCACAUGGACAGUGCCCUAUGAACAGCUCUCUGUUGACCAACAAAAAGAUGCUUCGUUUAUAGAUGGCAUUUUCAAGGUGGAAACACAGCAUCCUAUUUGGAAGACUGCUGCACUAAGACCAGCAUAUGAAAUGACUGAUUGAAGAAGGUGUCAGCAUCACUGCUCUGCUAUCCUUUAAGAGGCAGAUUUCCUGGUCGUACAUGGUCUUUAGUGAUUUGCAGGAAGAAUUUCAACUCACUUCACUGCCAGUUGGUGCCCGUGUAACUGCAUAAAGGUAAGAUACAGUUGUAGUUUAUCUUCUUGGCAAGUGACGGGACUUACUUGUUUGUUCUCCAAGGAUCAUGUGGACUUAUGUUGAGGAUUACUGCUAGAAACUAGAAACCAAAUAUCUAACUUGUGCAACCUUAUUCCUGUGCUGUGAAAAUAGACCAAGGCAUGGGAGGAGUUAUACAAAUGUAAAGUUCUCUGAAUUUUAAAAAGCUAACUUAGGACUUCAGGAAUAACAGCUGAUCAUUUUCAAACUGCAAACUGACUGGAGGAAUAAUUGUGCUUUCACACAGGUGAAAUCUUUGAAAUGGGAAGAUGAUUAUGUCUUUAAAUGUAAAAGAUUACCCACAUCUUCAAUGACAGCUUAAGUGAAACACACCGCAUUCAAUAUAAUCUGGAAAACCCAGCUCUAGUUCACUGCAGAUGCGUACCAUCUCCUGUAAUUCUAAUUGCACAUCAGACUAAGUUUACCUGCAGGGAUCAAGAAGUAUGGCAAGGCCAAUAUAGCAACAACAUGGUGCUCAUCUGCUCUGGUGUACUAGGAUGAAAUAGCGUAUUGACCCUGAAUCUAUACUCUGAGUAAAAGCAAUUGUCAUUCUGCCACUGUAACACCUUGUUGCCAGUGGCGAUGUAAUUAAAGCUGUGAGGACUCAUUUUCCAUUCUUAUCUCUUAAGCUUCUCUGAAUCAGAAACUGUUUGUCUGUGGUAACUGAGAAAACCUACUACAAGGCUACAUGUUUAUGUAUGAAUUUUUGGUAGCUUUUCCUUUUUUAGGGGCUGAAGUUAUAUGCAUAAUUACCUACAU